RNAcentral lists this ribosomal RNA (468 nucleotides) under uncultured bacterium. RNAcentral describes it as "partial 16S ribosomal RNA". It matches the Rfam family "Bacterial small subunit ribosomal RNA", at positions 28 to 507 of the family's 1533-position model. The record is from RNAcentral.
GAUGAACGCUGGCGGCGUGCUUAACACAUGCAAGUCGAACGGUGAAGGCGGAGCUUGCUCUGCUGGAUCAGUGGCGAACGGGUGAGUAACACGUGAGCAAUCUGCCCCUGACUCUGGGAUAAGCGCUGGAAACGGCGUCUAAUACUGGAUACGAGCUGCGAAGGCAUCUUCAGCAGCUGGAAAGAAUUUCGGUCAGGGAUGAGCUCGCGGCCUAUCAGCUUGUUGGUGAGGUAAUGGCUCACCAAGGCGUCGACGGGUAGCCGGCCUAAGAGGGUGACCGGCCACACUGGGACUGAGACACGGCCCAGACUCCUACGGGAGGCAGCAGUGGGGAAUAUUGCACAAUGGGCGAAAGCCUGAUGCAGCAACGCCGCGUGAGGGACGACGGCCUUCGGGUUGUAAACCUCUUUUAGCAGGGAAGAAGCGAAAGUGACGGUACCUGCAGAAAAAGCGCCGGCUAACUACGUG